Molecule: non-coding RNA, 177 nt
Filed under: uncultured Clostridium sp.
Lineage: Bacteria; Bacillati; Bacillota; Clostridia; Eubacteriales; Clostridiaceae
Source: RNAcentral
AUCGUGAGGUGGCUGACGGAGGUAGUUGGAAUCCAAGAGAUUCUAUUGCAAAAUUCUGAACCAAGGAACACGAACAGCAUAAGGCAUGAAUAGUGAGGAUAAGGAUGCUUUACAAUCUGAAGUCCUAAAGAUCGGACACUAAAAUGUAAAUGCUGUGGUUGGAUGGAAGGAAAGUUA